This 1314-nucleotide long non-coding RNA is filed under the name Daucus carota (carrot). RNAcentral's name for it is "long non-coding RNA (DCAR_LNC002238)". The record is from RNAcentral. Lineage: Eukaryota; Viridiplantae; Streptophyta; Magnoliopsida; Apiales; Apiaceae.
UGCCCUGGACCAUGCUGAUGGCGAGGAAGGUAAGCAUUAGGCGAGGCCUCAUCACAGAGGGCGAGGACUCCUUGAAGACGGACCGCCAGUCAUUGGGCCGCGAGGCCGACACAUGCCUAUGACGAAGGUCCAUACUGGGCGAGGACCCUUACUGGGCGAGGACCCUUCUGCUGACCCGGGUCCAUCUGUUGCUGGUCCUCACUUCCUGGGCCACAUAGAUGGCGAGGUCCACGUAAUGGGCGAGGACGAUCCCGGAGAUCGGUCCUUUCCUUGAAUUAAGGCGAGAUUUAUGCAAUCAUCUUCCGAGUUGAUAUUUGGCCAUAACAACUACCCCCCAAGCCCUUGAAGCAUAAGUGCGAAAGGGUUUAAAGAAGCUUCAGGCGAGGAAGAUGGUUAGUUGGCUGGUUUCCUGUAAUAGUACUCUGGCGAGCUCCAUCCUUGGGCGAGGACUCCAUCAAAGAGCCAAGUCAUUUAGAUAAUCAAGUAUCACAUUCCGGACAUGACUCCAGGAGAGGACUCAUUGAAGGCGAGGAUGGUAUAAGUCUUCCACUCCGGUUAGCUAAUUGCUAGAAUCAGCAACGGGCGAGGACGCCCCUCAAGCGAGGACUCCGUUAAGGGGUCGAGCUGAAGGUGAGGCUUAGCUGAGCGAGACGAUCAGUUGAGUGAAAAGAUGGUCAACAGCUGAGUGAGAGGACGAUCGAUAGCUGAGUGAGAGGACGAUCAUCAGCUGCGGUAGACGAAGCUCAUCAGCUGAGUGAGAGGAUGAUCAUCUGCUGAGGGCGAGGACGAUCAUCAGCUGAGGUAGACGAAGCUCAUCAGCUGAGGGAGAUGACGAUCAUCUGCUGAGGGCGAGGAUGAUCAUCAGCCGAGGUAGACGAAGCUCAUCAGCUGAGUGAGAGGACGAUCAUCUGCUGAGGGCGAGGAUGAUCAUCAGCUGAGGUAGACGAAGCUUAUCAGCUAAGGGAGAGGACGAUCAUCUGCUGAGGGCGAGGACGAUCAUCAGCUCAGGACGAAGCUUAUCAGCUGAGGUAGACGACGAUCAUCAGCUGAGGGAGAGGACGAUCAUCUGCUGAGGGCGAGGACGAUCAUCAGCUCAGGACGAGCUUAUCAGCUGAGGUAGACGACGAUCAUCAGCUGAGCGAGAGGACGAUCAUCUGCUGAGGGCGAGGACGAUCAUCCGCUGAGUGAGAGGAUGAUCAUCUGCUGAGGGCGAGGACGAUCAUCCGCUGAGGUAGACGUUAUCUUCGAAGGAUGACUCAAAAUUUGGCUAUAACGACUACCCCCCAGUUCCUUGUAACAUAAGUGCGAAAGGGU